AGUGAACGCUGGCGGCAUGCCUAAUACAUGCAAGUCGAGCGAACACACAGUAAGAUCGCGCUCUUGCGGGUAGCGAGUGGCGGACGGGUGACGAAUACAUAGGCUACCACUUUUUCGUGGGUGAUUUCGUAGAGCAACUUCCGCUACUACCGCAUAUGUUCUACGGCUGAAAGCAAUAGUUCAACGCACUUUUCGCGUUUCAUAUAGCCGAUGUCGGAUUAGCUAGUUGGCUGGGUAAGGGCCCACCAAGGCGACGAAGCGUAGCUGGUCUGAGAGGAUGAUCAGCCACACUGGAACUGAGACACGGUCCAGACUCCUACGGGAGGCAGCAGUGGGGAAUAUUGGACAAUGGGCGCAAGCCUGAUCCAGCCAUACCGCGUGGGUGAAGAAGGCCUUCGGGUUGUAAAGCCCUUUUGUUGGGAAAGAAAAGCAGCAGGUUAAUACCCCGCUGUUCUGACGGUACCCAAAGAAUAAGCACCGGCUAACUUCGUG
This 492-nucleotide ribosomal RNA is filed under the name uncultured bacterium. Its description in RNAcentral is "partial 16S ribosomal RNA". It matches the Rfam family "Bacterial small subunit ribosomal RNA", at positions 29 to 507 of the family's 1533-position model. The record is from RNAcentral.